Bombyx mori (domestic silkworm) is the source of this 883-nucleotide long non-coding RNA. RefSeq lists it as uncharacterized. Lineage: Eukaryota; Metazoa; Arthropoda; Insecta; Lepidoptera; Bombycidae. The transcript has 2 exons. The record is from RefSeq and is a predicted model, not a curated record.
CUCAAUCUUCUCAAUGGGUCGCGAUCCGAUCCGUAGAUAGAUUCUGUGAAGCACUGCUCUUACUAGGGCUAGCGUUUUUUUUUAAUUGCCGUAUAGGCAGACGAGCAUACGGCCCACCUGAUGGCGAGUGGUUAGUUAUUGUUGUUAUUAUUUCCAAAAAGGAAAAAAAAGCUUCUCAAAUACAAGAAUAUCUAUUGUCUUGUAUAAACAAACUUUAUAAGUAUCGCCACUCGUAAGGCGAGCUCGGCCUCAUGAUAAUUUCUUUUAUACUAUCAUCCGUUUUAUGUGAUUUUUGAUCGUUGUGUGAAUACAUAAAGAUUAUAAUCGUUUAACGUACUCUCGCCUAAUUUAAUCGCGUACAAUGAGCUUAAUAUAAAAGCUCAUUUAUAUAUAAUAGCUAUAAGAAAAAUCUUGUGUUCGAGCUCACAGAAUUAUCUUCUCUUCGAGACAUUUAUGCAUCUUCUAAUAGUUGCAUGAUCUUUGAAGUCAUCGUGGCCUAAAGGAUAAGACGUCCGGUGCAUUCGUAUCGAGCGAUGCAACGGAGUUCGAAUCCCGCAGGCGGGUACCAAUUUUUCUAAUGAAAUACGUACUUAACAAACGUUCACGACUGACUUCCACGGUCCAAACCCACAAAAUUAUAAUUUGCGUAAUUACUGGCAGUAGGAUCUCUUGUUAGUCCGCACGGGUAGGUACCACCACCCUGCCUAUUUCUGCCGUGAAGCAGUAAUGCAUUUCGGUUUGAAGGGUGGGGCAUCCGUUGUUAAUUAUGGGUGGCGAAUUUACGUUGUAGAUGUCUAUGGGCUCCAGUAACCACUUAACACCAGGUGGGCUGUGAGCUCGUCCCCUCAUCUAAGCGAUAAAAAAAAGUCAAAUCUAAUUUAAG